RNAcentral lists this unclassified non-coding RNA (253 nucleotides) under uncultured cyanobacterium. RNAcentral describes it as "contains 16S-23S intergenic spacer region". It matches the Rfam family "Bacterial small subunit ribosomal RNA", at positions 524 to 776 of the family's 1533-position model. Lineage: Bacteria; Bacillati; Cyanobacteriota. The record is from RNAcentral.
GACGUAGGAUGCAAGCGUUGUCCGGAAUUAUUGGGCGUAAAGAGUUCGUAGGCGGUUACUUAAGUCUGAUGUUAAAUACCGAAGCUCAACUUCGGCAUGGCAUUGGAAACUGGGUGACUAGAGUGUGGUAGAGGUAUCGGGAAUUCCAGGUGUAGCGGUGAAAUGCGUAGAUAUCUGGAGGAACACCAGUGGCGAAAGCGCGAUACUGGGCCAUAACUGACGCUGAGGAACGAAAGCCAGGGUAGCAAAAGGG